CUUCAACUCGACAUUGGAAAGAGGAGACAGGUUGUAUCCUGUCAGCUCCGGUUUCCCUGGAAACACAAACACAAGUCUUUACAACACUAUCCACAUCACAAGAUAAUGCAGCCUAUUCAUUGUCGAAGGAGGUAACGCAAACUAGGCAUUGUCGGAGGUAAUGCAGGCUAUGCAUUGUCAAAUGAGGUAAUGCCAAAUAUACAUUGUCGGAGGUAAUGUAGACAAAAUAUGUAUUGUCGAAGGAGGCAAUGCAGACUAACAUUAGGCUAUGCAUGGUUGAAGGAGAUAAUGCAGCCUAACUAUGCAUUGUUGAAGGAGAUAAUGCAGCCUAACUAGGCAUUGUUGGAGGUAAUGUAGCCUAUGCAUUGCCAGAGGAGGUAAUGCAGCCUAACUGUGCAUUGUUGAUGGAGAUAAUGCAAACUAACUGUAAAUUGUCUGAGGAGAUAAUGAGAACAAUCGAUGCAUUGUUGGAGGUAAUGCAGAUUAACAUGAGGUAUUGUUGGAGGUAAUGCAGAAUAACAUUAGGUAUUGUUGGAGGUAAUGCAGAAUAACAUUAGGUAUUGUUGGAGGUAAUGCAGAUUAACAUUAGGUAUUGUUGGAGGUAAUGCAGAUUAACAUGAGGUAUUGUUGGAGGUAAUGCAGAAUAACAUUAGGUAUUGUUGGAGGUAAUGCAGAAUAACAUUAGGUUAUGCAUUGUUGAAGGAUACAUUACUGAUCAGGGCCCGGUUUUCUAAAAGCAUGUUAAGGCUAAGCGCAUCAUUAAAUCAAAUCAAAUGUAUUUAUAUAGCCCUUCGUACAUCAGCUGAUAUCUCAAAGUGCUGUACAGAAACCCAGCCUAAAACCCCAAACAGCAAGCAAUGCUGAUGAAAUGAACUAAGUCUGAAGAGGCUUUUGGGAAACCGGGCCCUGUACUGUUCACUACAGCCUAAAGGAAGUAUGGUUGAUGACGUUAUGUAAUG
Molecule: long non-coding RNA, 959 nt
Organism: Oncorhynchus keta (chum salmon)
Lineage: Eukaryota; Metazoa; Chordata; Actinopteri; Salmoniformes; Salmonidae
Exons: 3
Source: RefSeq, a predicted model, not a curated record